Molecule: ribosomal RNA, 497 nt
Filed under: uncultured bacterium
Lineage: Bacteria
Description: partial 16S ribosomal RNA
Rfam family: Bacterial small subunit ribosomal RNA
Source: RNAcentral
GGCGAACGCUGGCGGCGUGCCUAAUACAUGCAAGUAGAACGCUGAAGAGAGGAGCUUGCUCUUCUUGGAUGAGUUGCGAACGGGUGAGUAACGCGUAGGUAACCUGCCUUGUAGCGGGGGAUAACUAUUGGAAACGAUAGCUAAUACCGCAUAACAAUGGAUGACACAUGUCAUUUAUUUGAAAGGGGCAAUUGCUCCACUACAAGAUGGACCUGCGUUGUAUUAGCUAGUAGGUGAGGUAAUGGCUCACCUAGGCGACGAUACAUAGCCGACCUGAGAGGGUGAUCGGCCACACUGGGACUGAGACACGGCCCAGACUCCUACGGGAGGCAGCAGUAGGGAAUCUUCGGCAAUGGGGGCAACCCUGACCGAGCAACGCCGCGUGAGUGAAGAAGGUUUUCGGAUCGUAAAGCUCUGUUGUAAGUCAAGAACGGGUGUGAGAGUGGAAAGUUCACACUGUGACGGUAGCUGACCAGAAAGGGACGGCUAACUACGUG